RNAcentral lists this long non-coding RNA (1520 nucleotides) under Physcomitrium patens. Its description in RNAcentral is "long non-coding RNA (PPAT_LNC001291)". The record is from RNAcentral. Lineage: Eukaryota; Viridiplantae; Streptophyta; Bryopsida; Funariales; Funariaceae.
UGUUUACAAAAAAACUGUGUCGAUUAUUUUAAAAGCCUUUAUUGGCUGAGCGUGAAGGUACUACAUAUCUGCAUCAAGUUGUUGGACAACUCCCGAGACCCUAAAACUCUCGCAGUGACUUGCAACGAUAUAGCUGAGUUCAUUCAAAUUCACCCAGCUGGUCGAGGCAUCAUACUUGAUUUGAAGGGCAAAGAGCGUGUGAUGAAUCACCCUAAUCCUCAGACUGCAAAGCAAGCUCUUUUAUGUGUGCAGAAUGUGCUGCUUGGUGCCAAGAAUGCAAUCUACAUCAAACAAAGCAUUUUCUUAUGAAAAUGUUCCGUUGAAAUUUUUAAUAUUGUUUAUUAUUAUCUUAUUAUUUUCUUCGUUCAGCACAUCAUGUACUGGGAAAAUGUGGUCACUUCUGUGAGAUGUUCGUCUGUCUCUGCACGUAGCAUCAACGAUGUACUAGAUUGGGGCGCCUGUUAUGCUCCUACAAUACUGCAAAUAAUGCAUCACACUCAAUUGCAAACCUUUCUUCAAAGCUCUAAUUACUAGAUGCAAUUUGGCUAUCUGGAUAUGAAUUAUGGACCCUUUGAAUGAGCACUUCGCAUGUCUUUGUUUGCGUUGCUUAUUAAUGUUUCUUAUGUUCGUAGCGACUAUCGUUUCGAACAUUUCAUUCGCAGCCUGAGAGUGUUGGGAGUCUGGUUCAGUUUUUAAGAACAUAGCGGGGACAUAUCAGAUAGAAACGUGAAGAAAUUUAGAAAACAGUUGAAUCUGUAUCAUGAUAUGGAAAAGAAACUGUGUUCCCAUACGUACGAAAGCUCUCUGACUUCAAACUCUUUCAAGUGGCCGUCAAGUACAUCAGAUAUUGAAAACAAAAGCAAAUGGAAGAAUCGACUUGUGUACCAAAAUCCACAAAGACGCUCACCAAAAAUGGUUGUUGAAACCAGUCAGUGUCUCGUAUUAAACCACCCUUGUUGAACAUCUAAUAUCAUCGCCGAUGGUGACUACAAUCAGUAAACCCAGUUACUAGCACUCAUGUGGCAUCUACAAUUAUAUCCCAGAAUAUUCUAAACCGAAAGCGUAACCUCCACGCUCUUAGCAGCUCUCUGCUGUAAUUGGGGUUUCCCCAUAGUAUGAACAUAUGAUGUCAUGGUAGCCGUGUCUCUGCAUGCCUCGGUGAGAAAAAAACAGGCCCAUAGUCGCCAUAAUGGUCGACAUUGUUCAGAUUUCAGGGUUCCAAGGGUAGGUUUUAUUGCGAAACAAGGUCUUCGUAACCCAAAGACCCAAAGAAAAGAUUCCUCUACCCUCGGUCGCCCUCUCACUCUCACUCUCCCAAACUCUGAGCGCUAGACCAAGAGCUCACAAAAUUUGUAUUACGAAAAAAAGGUGCUAAUCAAGUGAACUAAGCAGGUUAAUGGGGAACACCGCCUCAUCCUGGGAGUCCUGGGUGGAAGCAGGCUCGUGGCUCGGCGUAGCUGCGUAGCUGCGUAGCACGCAGUCAGAGAGGUGGUCAAAGUGCCAAUGCAGACCGAUUCCUG